This 2102-nucleotide ribosomal RNA is filed under the name Staphylococcus aureus. RNAcentral's name for it is "partial 23S ribosomal RNA". It matches the Rfam family "Bacterial large subunit ribosomal RNA", at positions 819 to 2925 of the family's 2925-position model. The record is from RNAcentral. Lineage: Bacteria; Bacillati; Bacillota; Bacilli; Caryophanales; Staphylococcaceae. RNAcentral also lists the same sequence under 1 other name.
GGAGAAAUUCCAAUCGAACCUGGAGAUAGCUGGUUCUCUCCGAAAUAGCUUUAGGGCUAGCCUCAAGUGAUGAUUAUUGGAGGUAGAGCACUGUUUGGACGAGGGGCCCCUCUCGGGUUACCGAAUUCAGACAAACUCCGAAUGCCAAUUAAUUUAACUUGGGAGUCAGAACAUGGGUGAUAAGGUCCGUGUUCGAAAGGGAAACAGCCCAGACCACCAGCUAAGGUCCCAAAAUAUAUGUUAAGUGGAAAAGGAUGUGGCGUUGCCCAGACAACUAGGAUGUUGGCUUAGAAGCAGCCAUCAUUUAAAGAGUGCGUAAUAGCUCACUAGUCGAGUGACACUGCGCCGAAAAUGUACCGGGGCUAAACAUAUUACCGAAGCUGUGGAUUGUCCUUUGGACAAUGGUAGGAGAGCGUUCUAAGGGCGUUGAAGCAUGAUCGUAAGGACAUGUGGAGCGCUUAGAAGUGAGAAUGCCGGUGUGAGUAGCGAAAGACGGGUGAGAAUCCCGUCCACCGAUUGACUAAGGUUUCCAGAGGAAGGCUCGUCCGCUCUGGGUUAGUCGGGUCCUAAGCUGAGGCCGACAGGCGUAGGCGAUGGAUAACAGGUUGAUAUUCCUGUACCACCUAUAAUCGUUUUAAUCGAUGGGGGGACGCAGUAGGAUAGGCGAAGCGUGCGAUUGGAUUGCACGUCUAAGCAGUAAGGCUGAGUAUUAGGCAAAUCCGGUACUCGUUAAGGCUGAGCUGUGAUGGGGAGAAGACAUUGUGUCUUCGAGUCGUUGAUUUCACACUGCCGAGAAAAGCCUCUAGAUAGAAAAUAGGUGCCCGUACCGCAAACCGACACAGGUAGUCAAGAUGAGAAUUCUAAGGUGAGCGAGCGAACUCUCGUUAAGGAACUCGGCAAAAUGACCCCGUAACUUCGGGAGAAGGGGUGCUCUUUAGGGUUAACGCCCAGAAGAGCCGCAGUGAAUAGGCCCAAGCGACUGUUUAUCAAAAACACAGGUCUCUGCUAAACCGUAAGGUGAUGUAUAGGGGCUGACGCCUGCCCGGUGCUGGAAGGUUAAGAGGAGUGGUUAGCUUCUGCGAAGCUACGAAUCGAAGCCCCAGUAAACGGCGGCCGUAACUAUAACGGUCCUAAGGUAGCGAAAUUCCUUGUCGGGUAAGUUCCGACCCGCACGAAAGGCGUAACGAUUUGGGCACUGUCUCAACGAGAGACUCGGUGAAAUCAUAGUACCUGUGAAGAUGCAGGUUACCCGCGACAGGACGGAAAGACCCCGUGGAGCUUUACUGUAGCCUGAUAUUGAAAUUCGGCACAGCUUGUACAGGAUAGGUAGGAGCCUUUGAAACGUGAGCGCUAGCUUACGUGGAGGCGCUGGUGGGAUACUACCCUAGCUGUGUUGGCUUUCUAACCCGCACCACUUAUCGUGGUGGGAGACAGUGUCAGGCGGGCAGUUUGACUGGGGCGGUCGCCUCCUAAAAGGUAACGGAGGCGCUCAAAGGUUCCCUCAGAAUGGUUGGAAAUCAUUCAUAGAGUGUAAAGGCAUAAGGGAGCUUGACUGCGAGACCUACAAGUCGAGCAGGGUCGAAAGACGGACUUAGUGAUCCGGUGGUUCCGCAUGGAAGGGCCAUCGCUCAACGGAUAAAAGCUACCCCGGGGAUAACAGGCUUAUCUCCCCCAAGAGUUCACAUCGACGGGGAGGUUUGGCACCUCGAUGUCGGCUCAUCGCAUCCUGGGGCUGUAGUCGGUCCCAAGGGUUGGGCUGUUCGCCCAUUAAAGCGGUACGCGAGCUGGGUUCAGAACGUCGUGAGACAGUUCGGUCCCUAUCCGUCGUGGGCGUAGGAAAUUUGAGAGGAGCUGUCCUUAGUACGAGAGGACCGGGAUGGACAUACCUCUGGUGUACCAGUUGUCGUGCCAACGGCAUAGCUGGGUAGCUAUGUGUGGACGGGAUAAGUGCUGAAAGCAUCUAAGCAUGAAGCCCCCCUCAAGAUGAGAUUUCCCAACUUCGGUUAUAAGAUCCCUCAAAGAUGAUGAGGUUAAUAGGUUCGAGGUGGAAGCAUGGUGACAUGUGGAGCUGACGAAUACUAAUCGAUCGAAGACUUAAUCAA